GUCCGCGGGGCGCUCCUCCGUGUAUAGUUAGUUAUUGGUGAGGAGUAGAGCGAGUAUUCGACUUUCGACUUUCCAAAAAGUUAUCAACCAUGCGCGCAAAGGAAAGUGUAUCUUGAUCUCCUUUUCAUCUUCAACCGCCAUAUGUACACACACAGUACGCACACACCACACCGCGAUGUACACUAGUAUGUUCCAUUAAUGCCUGGACCUGUCAUAAUGCAACUUGAACGGUCGGUAACAAUUGAUAUAGGUCCAGGCAUUAACUGUUUUAACUGCGAUAACAGAUCGCUAUUUGAGACAAGUUAUCUCAAUAAAGUGAAAAAAUUGUAAUUCGUGAUAUCACGAAUACAGUAUAUACCGCGUCGAAACUACGAUGGGGUUUCAUAAAUUCUUUCCAUGUCGUGGGUUUGACACUCCUCUUCUUCUUCCCAACUGACUGGCGUGUGCAUACAACUUGUGACAAGAUGCUCGGACCUCGUAACUCCUGUGCUUUGUUGAAAGAAACGCAUUAGCGAGUUCCAGUGCGAAAGUCAAUCAUUAUACCGAUCUUGCUGAUUUGAAAUGGACCGGCAGCCUACGCUAUGGCGAUACAGUUGUAUUGCCGCCCAUGGAGAAUGUCCCCGGUGGAUUCUUGUCGGCAACUGGAGACUGCAAAAUUUUGGAAAAUCCUUAUCCGACAAAGAAUAAGGGCAGCUGAGAAAGACCGCGGCGAUAAGGAAACAACGAUGAUGUACCCAUCCCUAUACUAUGCAACAAUUCCCACGAAAAUAGCCAAGCGUCACCAAAUAUAACAUUUUUUUAUUAUUCACCUAAAAACUACGAUUACGAAUCUCUUUCCAACGCUCAAUUAUUUCCAAUCGUAAGCAAAAGAUGGACAUCGACGUACAUAUUGUAAUUCUCCUCUAAUAAAAUUCAAACAGACCGAUUCCAAAA
Molecule: long non-coding RNA, 933 nt
Organism: Venturia canescens
Lineage: Eukaryota; Metazoa; Arthropoda; Insecta; Hymenoptera; Ichneumonidae
Exons: 3
Source: RefSeq, a predicted model, not a curated record